AAGUCGUAACAAGGUUUCCGUAGGUGAACCUGCGGAAGGAUCAUUAUUGAAUAAACCUGAUGGGUUGUAGCUGGUCUCUCCGGAGGCAUGUGCACGCCUGUCUUCUUUAUAUCUCCACCUGUGCACCUCUUGUAGACCUGGAUAGUUAUGCGCCUUUCUUUUUUGAAGGCGGUUUUGAGGACUGCUGAUGUCGAUAAGACCGGCUUUCCUUACAUUUCCAGGCCUAUGUUUAUCAUAUACCCCAUUGUAUGUAACAGAAUGUAUCAAUGGGCCUCAGUGCCUAUAAACCUUAUACAACUUUCAGCAACGGAUCUCUUGGCUCUC
This 324-nucleotide unclassified non-coding RNA is filed under the name Flammulaster limulatus. Its description in RNAcentral is "partial internal transcribed spacer region". The stretch from base 1 to 46 matches the Rfam family "Eukaryotic small subunit ribosomal RNA", at positions 1786 to 1831 of the family's 1831-position model. The record is from RNAcentral. Lineage: Eukaryota; Fungi; Basidiomycota; Agaricomycetes; Agaricales; Tubariaceae.